This 486-nucleotide ribosomal RNA is filed under the name uncultured bacterium. Its description in RNAcentral is "bacterial SSU rRNA". It matches the Rfam family "Bacterial small subunit ribosomal RNA", at positions 28 to 532 of the family's 1533-position model. The record is from RNAcentral.
GAUGAACGCUGGCGGCGUGCUUAAUACAUGCAAGUCGAACGGAGACAGUAGCAAUAUUGUCUUAGUGGCGAACGGGUGAGUAACGCGUUGGUGACCUGCCCCGAAGAGGGGGAUAACAGUCCGAAAGGAUUGCUAAUACCCCAUGUGGUCGUUUGGAUUAGAUGCCUUAUGACUAAACGGAUUUAUUCGCUUCGGGAGGGGCCUGCGUCCCAUCAGCUAGUUGGUAAGGUAAUGGCUUACCAAGGCGAUGACGGGUAGGGGACCUGAGAGGGUGGCCCCCACAAUGGAACUGAAACACGGUCCAUACACCUACGGGUGGCAGCAGUAGGGAAUAUUGGUAAUCUGGGAAACCGGGAACCAGCAACGCCGCGUGCGCGAUGAAGGCCUUCGGGUUGUAAAGCGCUUUUUGAGGGGAUGAGGAAGGACAGUACCCUCAGAAUAAGCCUCGGCUAACUACGUGCCAGCAGCGCGGUAAACUGUAGUCGU